Long non-coding RNA from Juglans microcarpa x Juglans regia, 2991 nucleotides. RefSeq lists it as uncharacterized. NCBI's taxonomy places the organism in Eukaryota, Viridiplantae, Streptophyta, Magnoliopsida, Fagales, Juglandaceae. The transcript has 2 exons. The record is from RefSeq and is a predicted model, not a curated record.
GUGGCCUCUUUGGCAAUUCACGUGAGGGUGAUCUUAUAAGUUUUGUUUGCUUACAUAUCCAUUCAUUCUAAAAUUUCUAGUGUAGGCUUUGUUUCACAAGGUUGUUUAAGUUGGUGUAAUAAGGUUUUUAGUAAUUGCUUUAGCUUAGAAAAAAUGUAAUAAUUACUUUAGUUAUUGUAGCUUAAUGUUUUUGUUUUAAGGACAUGGAUUAAUUCAUAAGUGAUGUGAAUCCUUUAUUGUUUAUUUAAAAGGCUGUAUUACACUCUUAUGAACACUGCCAUGCAUUCAGCCAUUGUCUUUAGGGUACGUAUUAUGGAAUUAUUCAGUACUUUGAGGGUUGUGUUACUGUUUUGUUGUUAGUACAUACUCUACUCCAACUGGUGGCGGCGGCUUUAGUUACGGUAGUUCGAUUUUGCAUGUUAAGGAAAUGGAUUAUUUCAUUAGAGAUGUCAAUCCUUUCAUGUUAAUAAAGGGUCGUAUUACUCUCUUACGAACACUGCUAUGAAUUCAGCUAUUGUCUACAAUGUAUGUAUUAGGGAGUUGCUCGGUAAUUUGAUGACUAUUUUGCUGUUUUGCUGUUAUUACAUACUCUGCUGGUUGUGGUUUUCUGGAUUAUCAUGCAUAUUUUCUGUUCAUGCAUUUUCAUUUUCUUUGCUGCUGCAUAUGUGAAAAAACAAAACAACCUUGUUGUUUCACAUGGAUUUAUCCUGAAGAAUUCGCACAUUGCAUUACUUAUUAGUACUAUACAGAUCCUAUUUUCUGCAGUGUUAUUUUUGGUCACAUGCAGGGGUAUAUACCACUGAUACUUCAUGGCGUGGGACUUUUGAGAUGUCACUAGUGAAACUGUUCUCAGCCUUCUUUUUUUCCCUCUAUUAAUCACAUGCUGGUAUCAUAUAAUAGAAGAAAAGUUGUUAAGCUUGUUUAACCUGGUAGUUUGCCUGUUGGCGUUUUAGUAACAAGCAUUAGAAGUUGAACAUUUAUGGUUUUUUUUUUUUAAUUUAUAAAUUUUUUGAUAGGUAUUUAUAUCAAAAUGUCAAAACUAUACCAGAAGAGCCAAACUUGCUUAAUUGUUUAUUAAAGUCACAUAGGGGCACAACCUACUAACACAAGGUCUAUCAUGAGGAGUAAAAAGGAGUAACUACCUUGAGAGGUGAAGGAAAUCCAAGUAGAAGUAAUACUAGAACAAUUAUGACUUGAUGUGUAGACAUAAUGCAUAAAGGGGUGCAAACCAAGCAUAUCUAAAAUAUACAAUAGGAAAUACCCAACUAGAAGGAUGAAGAAAAAGAACACAAGCCAACGAAGUCUAGAAAGCUAAAGGAAUUUAAGCUAUUGUACGCUGCCAUCUAAGCAUAAAGAGAAUUGAACAUAAUGGCCUUUAAUUCUAACAUUGCCCUCUAACAAUAUUCAAAGGUUUGAGCAUUAAGUUACCCCAAAUAUACCACGUUAAACACAAAGAAACCAUCCUCCAAACAUCUAGAUUGCUAUGGCAACUAAGGGGAUUUUACAAACCACCUGUUAGUCUCUCCUUCUUGGGAGACUCAUUAUCCGGAGUUAUGUCAAAAAAGAUUGCCAAGGGUUUGUUCUGAUCACUUUCCCAUUGUACUUGAUUGUGGGGGUAUUCAUUAGGGUAGACUUUAUUUUAAGUUUGAGAAUAUGUGGCUUGAAGUUGAGGGUUUUGUAGAAAAGGUGAGAAGCUGGUGGCAUUCUUAUCAUUUUGUGGGGACUCCUAGCUUUAUUCUGGCAAGUAAGCUCAAAGCUUUGAAGGCGGAUUUGAAGAAGUGGAACAGGGAAGUAUUUGGGAAUGUAGAGCAGCAGAAAAAAUCUCGUUGGGAGGAGCUACAAGCCUUGGAGGUUGAGGGGGAAAGUGAGGAGUCUUUGUUAAGAAAGAAAGAAGUGGUGUUAGAACUUGAGAGGGUACUUUUGAUGGAAGAAAUAUCUUGGAGGUAGAAAUUGAGAGUUCUAUGGCUUAAAGAGGGGGAUAAGUGCACCAGUUUCUUUCAUAAAAUGGCUAACUCUCAUAGGCGUAACAAUGCCAUUGAGGUGAUUAAAGCUGAUAAUAAUGUGCUCUCUACACCUGAUGAGAUACAAGAUCAUGUUGUGCAGUUUUAUAGUGCUCUCCUAACUGAGACGACGGAUUGGAGACCUAAAAUUGAUGGCUUGAAUUUUGAGGUUGUGGAUUCUUUUACAGCAAGCUGGUUAGAGAGGCCGUUUGAAGAGUUUGAGGUGCAUCGGGUGGUAUUGAGAAUGCACUGUUUAGAGCUUUUCCGGUUGUUUUCAGGUUGGCUGUUAAUCAACAGGCCUCAAUCUCAGAUUUGAUGAGUUACUCUAAUGGAGAGGUGCAUUGGGAUCUUAGAUUUUUCAGACCUGUCCAGGAUUGGGAAAUUGAGGAGGUUCCUGAUUUUUUCAGAUUGUUGUAUUCAGUGGAUAUUAGAUGACAUGAGAGGGAUCAAAUGUACUGGAGAUAUACAACGUCUAAAAAGUUCUUUGUUAGAUCAUAUUAUAAGAUGUUGUCCGAUCAGCGUUACAUUUUUUUUCCUUGGAAGAGUAUUUGGAAGGCUCAUGUUCCGUCAAAGGUUGCAUUUUUUUUUAUGGACAGCAGCAAUUGGGAAUAUUCAGACAAUUGGGACUGACCUGGGUUAUGCCAAAAUCAGUGGUAGAUUUACUCUCAUGUUGGACUAGACUUCAUACUUGCUCUCAAGUGGCAGUUGCAUGGAAGAUGAUUCCUUUGUGCAUUAUGUGGUGCAUUUGGUUGGAAAGAAAUGACAGGUGUUUUAAUAAUAGGGAACGCAAUGUAGAAGAACUCUGGAAAUUUUACAUGUGUUUUUGUUUAGAUGGUUUUCAGCUAUUGUACUUAAUGGAGGGGCCAUCCAUGAGUUUUUGUCCUCGUUUUCCUAGUAUUAGAAUGUAUUUAGGUGUUUCUUUUGUAUACAUCCUGUGUACAUGAGGUUUGCCUAUUGCAUUUGAUGAAUUAAAUUUUUACUUAUAAAAAAA